RNAcentral lists this long non-coding RNA (326 nucleotides) under Equus asinus (donkey). Its description in RNAcentral is "lncRNA (ENSEASG00005026977.1)". The record is from RNAcentral. Lineage: Eukaryota; Metazoa; Chordata; Mammalia; Perissodactyla; Equidae.
AAUUCAUGUCCUGUGUGGAAAACUUGAAAGAUUUAAGAAGAUCAGCCCUGAGCUAACAUCUGCUGCCAAUCUGCCACCAAUCCUCCUCUUUUUGCUGAGGAAGCUUGGCCCUGAGGUCACUUGUGGCUCCAAGGUUCUCUGUUCCUGCUGCAUUUGAUCUGCGGAUCACCUUGCUGCUCAGCAUACAGUCUUUAUCUAUACCAUGUUGCUACAAAGAGGGAAAAGAGACCCUUUCCUUGACAUGCCUCACAAAACAACACUGGCACAAAGCUUUUGUGUAUGCAAUAGAACCUUACUAAGGGUCACAAGCAAUAGAGGGCUAUUAU